RNAcentral lists this ribosomal RNA (450 nucleotides) under uncultured bacterium. Its description in RNAcentral is "partial 16S ribosomal RNA". It matches the Rfam family "Bacterial small subunit ribosomal RNA", at positions 354 to 796 of the family's 1533-position model. The record is from RNAcentral.
GUGGGGAAUAUUGGACAAUGGGCGCAAGCCUGAUCCAGCCAUACCGCGUGGGUGAAGAAGGCCUUCGGGUUGUAAAGCCCUUUUGUUGGGAAAGAAAUCCUGUCGGUUAAUACCUGGCGGGGAUGACGGUACCCAAAGAAUAAGCACCGGCUAACUUCGUGCCAGCAGCCGCGGUAAUACGAAGGGUGCAAGCGUUACUCGGAAUUACUGGGCGUAAAGCGUGAGUAGGUGGUGGUUUAAGUCCGUUGUGAAAGCCCUGGGCUCAACCUGGGAAUUGCAGUGGAUACUGGAUCACUAGAGUGUGGUAGAGGGAUGCGGAAUUUCUGGUGUAGCAGUGAAAUGCGUAGAGAUCAGAAGGAACAUCCGUGGCGAAGGCGGCAUCCUGGGCCAACACUGACACUGAGGCACGAAAGCGUGGGGAGCAAACAGGAUUAGAAACCCGGGUAGUCC